Larimichthys crocea (large yellow croaker) is the source of this 325-nucleotide long non-coding RNA. RefSeq lists it as uncharacterized. The transcript has 3 exons. The record is from RefSeq and is a predicted model, not a curated record. Lineage: Eukaryota; Metazoa; Chordata; Actinopteri; Sciaenidae.
ACACGCCUUCAUCAGUAACCAUGGCAACAGUAAUAAUAGUAACAGAUCCAAAUUCUCUGCUGGUUCUGGUUCCAACAGCUGAACUUUCUGUUCUGAGGACUGAUAUGAAGUCAGCGCUCUGUGUCUCCGUUACAGAUUCAGUUGUCCGUGAUGGCGUCCUCGUUGAUCUUGGACAGCAGCACCAUGUCGUCCACGCCGCUCACCUUCACGUUCUGAGCCAGCCAAUGGUCGUCCCUCUCAUCUCCUGAAUUCCCAGAAUUCCUUCUGUCCUGUGGGAUCAUGUCGAGGAUCGACGACGCCCAGACAUGCUCACACACACACACAC